Molecule: ribosomal RNA, 253 nt
Filed under: uncultured bacterium
Lineage: Bacteria
Description: partial 16S ribosomal RNA
Rfam family: Bacterial small subunit ribosomal RNA
Source: RNAcentral
GACAGAGGUGCCGAGCGUUAGGCGGAAUCACUGGGCUUAAAGCGUGUGUAGGCGGACUUCUAAGUGCCUUGUGAAAUCCCACGGCUCACCCGUGGAACUGCUGGGCAUACUGGGAGUCUUGAGCCACUUAGGGGCAACUGGAACAAACGGUGGAGCGGUGAAAUGCGUAGAUAUCCUAAGGAACACCGGUGGCGAAGGCGGCUUACUGGGUCUCAACUGACGCUGAGGCACGAAAGCUAGGGGAGCAAACAGG